RNAcentral lists this ribosomal RNA (68 nucleotides) under Acinetobacter sp. 25977_7. The record is from RNAcentral. Lineage: Bacteria; Pseudomonadati; Pseudomonadota; Gammaproteobacteria; Moraxellales; Moraxellaceae.
GGCGACCAUAGCAAGAGUGAACCACCUGAUCCCUUCCCGAACUCAGAAGUGAAACCUCUUAGCGCUGA